UACGGAGGAUUCAAGCGUUAUCCGGAUUUAUUGGGUUUAAAGGGUGCGUAGGCGGUCUGAUAAGUUAGAGGUGAAAUCCCGGGGCUUAACUCCGGAAUUGCCUCUGAUACUGUUGGGCUAGAGAGUAGUUGCGGUAGGCGGAAUGUAUGGUGUAGCGGUGAAAUGCUUAGAGAUCAUACAGAACACCGAUUGCGAAGGCAGCUUACCAAACUAUAUCUGACGUUGAGGCACGAAAGCAUGGGGAGCAAACAGG
RNAcentral lists this ribosomal RNA (253 nucleotides) under uncultured bacterium. RNAcentral describes it as "partial 16S ribosomal RNA". It matches the Rfam family "Bacterial small subunit ribosomal RNA", at positions 524 to 776 of the family's 1533-position model. The record is from RNAcentral.